UGGUACCACAAUGGAAACUGAGACAAGGUAUUGACUAUUGAAAAUUGAUGCCCCCAUUGGAAACAUUGGUUGCUUGUAGAUGUGGGUGCUUGUAGCUUAUCCACAGAUUUAGCUUUAAGGUUCUUAAUCAAAAUAACUCCAAACAAGGAAGGAGAACUCUUGUGCAAACCCUAUGUAUUUAAGAAAAAUAAAACCAUGCUCAGUUCUUCUCAGUCCUGUAAAGGAACAGGCCAGAAAUGUCCACACCGCGCUUCGCUCCAGCAACUACCCCGCUCCGCUCCCUCGCUCUGCUCCCUCCAUCUGCGUCAUACACAGUUGGCUCGCUCCAUUCUGCUCACACUCUGAUUCUGGACUGCUCAGUCCCUGACCACCUUCCAGCGCCUCCUCAAGACACAUCUGUUCAGACAGCAUCUAUAAACCUCAA
Molecule: long non-coding RNA, 424 nt
Organism: Polyodon spathula (Mississippi paddlefish)
Lineage: Eukaryota; Metazoa; Chordata; Actinopteri; Acipenseriformes; Polyodontidae
Exons: 3
Source: RefSeq, a predicted model, not a curated record